RNAcentral lists this ribosomal RNA (484 nucleotides) under uncultured bacterium. RNAcentral describes it as "partial 16S ribosomal RNA". It matches the Rfam family "Bacterial small subunit ribosomal RNA", at positions 30 to 507 of the family's 1533-position model. The record is from RNAcentral.
AUUGAACGCUGGCGGCAGGCCUAACACAUGCAAGUCGAGCGGAUGAAGGGAGCUUGCUCCUGGAUUCAGCGGCGGACGGGUGAGUAAUGCCUAGGAAUCUGCCUGGUAGUGGGGGAUAACGUCCGGAAGCGGGCGCUAAUACCGCAUACGUCCUGAGGGAGAAAGUGGGGGAUCUUCGGACCUCACGCUAUCAGAUGAGCCUAGGUCGGAUUAGCUAGUUGGUGGGGUAAAGGCCUACCAAGGCGACGAUCCGUAACUGGUCUGAGAGGAUGAUCAGUCACACUGGAACUGAGACACGGUCCAGACUCCUACGGGAGGCAGCAGUGGGGAAUAUUGGACAAUGGGCGAAAGCCUGAUCCAGCCAUGCCGCGUGUGUGAGGAAGGUCUUCGGAUUGUAAAGCACUUUAAGUUGGGAGGAAGGGCAGUAAGUUAAUACCUUGCUGUUUUGACGUUACCAACAGAAUAAGCACCGGCUAACUUCGUG